RNAcentral lists this ribosomal RNA (253 nucleotides) under uncultured bacterium. Its description in RNAcentral is "partial 16S ribosomal RNA". It matches the Rfam family "Bacterial small subunit ribosomal RNA", at positions 524 to 776 of the family's 1533-position model. The record is from RNAcentral.
UACAGAGGGUGCGAGCGUUAAUCGGAAUUACUGGGCGUAAAGCGCGCGUAGGCGGCUUUGCAAGUCGAGUGUGAAAUCCCCAGACUUAACCUGGGAACUGCAUUCGAGACUGCAUAGCUAGAGUAUGGGAGAGGGAAGUGGAAUUUCAGGUGUAGCGGUGAAAUGCGUAGAUAUCUGAAGGAACAUCAGUGGCGAAAGCGACUUCCUGGACCAAUACUGACGCUCAUGUGCGAAAGCGUGGGGAGCAAACAGG